GCGGCCUCGGUGAUGACCUCAGUGAGUCUCAAACCAGCUCCCUUCACCGUCGAGAAAUCGGCGAGAGGUCUUCCAUCUCUGGCGAGAAACUCCGUCCCCUUCAAGGUCGAGGCCAGUGGCGGGAAGAAGAUCAAGACCGACAAACCCUAUGGAAUCAAUGGUUCGAUGAAUUUGAGGGAUGGAGUUGAUGCAUCGGGAAGAAGGGGCAAGGGAAAGGGAGUGUACCAAUUUGUCGACAAGUACGGGGCCAAUGUCGAUGGCUACAGUCCCAUCUACGACACCAAAGACUGGUCUCCAAGUGGUGACGUCUAUGUUGGUGGUACUACUGGAUUGGCCAUUUGGGCAGCGACCUUGGCUGGCCUUCUUGCUGGAGGUGCUCUUCUUGUGUACAACACUAGUGCUUUGGUGCAGUAAGCUGGAGGAAAGUUGAACUGG
This 435-nucleotide unclassified non-coding RNA is filed under the name Hevea brasiliensis (rubber tree). Lineage: Eukaryota; Viridiplantae; Streptophyta; Magnoliopsida; Malpighiales; Euphorbiaceae. The record is from RNAcentral.